Molecule: ribosomal RNA, 497 nt
Filed under: uncultured soil bacterium
Lineage: Bacteria
Description: bacterial SSU rRNA
Rfam family: Bacterial small subunit ribosomal RNA
Source: RNAcentral
AGAAUGAACGCUGGCGGCGCGCCUAAUACAUGCAAGUCGAGCGAGAAGGCGUAGCAAUACGUUUGUAAAGCGGCGAACGGGUGAGGAAUACAUGGGUAACCUACCCUUGAGUGGGGAAUAACUAGCCGAAAGGUUAGCUAAUACCGCGUACGCUUCUUGGACUUCGGUUCAGGGAGGAAAGCGAUGCCGAGGGUAUCGCGCUCUUGGAUGGGCUCAUGUCCUAUCAGCUUGUUGGUGAGGUAACGGCUCACCAAGGCUUCGACGGGUAGCUGGUCUGAGAGGACGAUCAGCCACACUGGCACUGCGACACGGGCCAGACUCCUACGGGAGGCAGCAGUAAGGAUAUGCGCAAUGGGCGAAAGCCUGACGCAGCGACGCCGCGUGGGGAUGAAGGUCUUCGGAUUGUAAACCCCGUUUCGGAGGAAGAUGGAAUGGGUAACCCAGUUCGGACGGUACCUCCAGAAGCAGCCAGCUAACUCGUGCCAGCAGCCGCGUAA